RNAcentral lists this long non-coding RNA (1582 nucleotides) under Equus asinus (donkey). RNAcentral's name for it is "lncRNA (ENSEASG00005025611.1)". The record is from RNAcentral. Lineage: Eukaryota; Metazoa; Chordata; Mammalia; Perissodactyla; Equidae.
AGCAGCUGAAGCCAGUGAGGCUGCCCAUCGCUGCAGCCCCUGCUCAGAUCCUCCCUCGAUUGCCUCAAGCUUGGGGGAUGGGCAGGGGGAUGGCCCUUCAGUGAUUGGCUCUGGAAGGCCUGUCUCCUCAGGCCUCUUUCUUCCCAGUUACUGACCAAUCUACCCCCCAGCCUCGAGCGCACUGAGGCAUUGUGGGCAGCCAGGCAGUUGGUUUGUUCAGACUUUUGGACUCAGGUUUCUGUUUCCUUGUCUGUGAAAUAAGAGGUUGGACCAGAUGAGUUCUUAGUUCUACGAUUCCACGAAUGUCUUAGAAAGCAAAAUGCACAGAGCCAAAUUUCCUUUGCCAUGCCGAACGCCAGGGCAGCGGAGCCAGCAGUGUCGAUGCUGUAAAGCCCCAAGGAGAGUUCUAGACGGAAGGGCGCUGCUGUGUCCUGGUAAUGAUGUCAGGUGACUCAGACAGGUCUGGGACUGGAGAAGCUGGCUGUCUUGUCUGAACCUCCUUUGAAGUGGUGGUUUGCAACACUUUUACGAACUGGAGGUUGAACGAGAACAUGAAAGUCAUCUCAUUGGUAUGUUGUAUUUUCCCAAACACACCAUUUCAAAUCAAAACAUGGAAACAACUGUCUUAUUUUAGGAUUAUGCUUUGUAUUUGAACAUGCUGCUUACCAUCUAUUAGCUGACGGGGCUCUGGGACGCUCAGAGAACGAGUGACUGAGGUUUCCAGUCCUAAGGAGGUUGCUUUCAGCUCAGUCCAGGGAAGGAGAUUUUAACAAGCUGAGCUGGCCUUUUGAGGUGAGGAAUUGCCCGUCAAAGAAAAGCUCAGUGCUUACCCUCCCAACUCCCCGAGGCUCUCCUGCCCCCGAGUCAGGGAGACCCCUCCCCCCCAAAGCAGCCCCUCCUCCUCACUCUGCCAUGCCAUCCUGGCUUAGUGCUUUCACACUGAGCACUCCCUAAAAGUGCCACGUUCGUUUAGGUUUUACUUGUUGGUCAUCAUCUCACCAAACUGAAGGUAAAGUCUGGCAGAGCAGGCGCCGGGGCCCUGUUCACCGUGCUCUCUCCAGUGUUCCAUCUCCUGGCACUUAGCGGACACUCAGCAAAUACUGAAGGGAUAAAAUUCUGCUAUUGGUCCAGGGCUUUCUAGCUUCCAGUUUUGCAAGCCCAUCGUCCUACGGGAUUAGGCACUUCAAGAGCCUGGUUGCAGAUGUUCGAAGGAGCCGUGGUGUCCUGCGGUUAAUGAGAGUGGAGCCAGCACUGGGAGUGGGAUGUGUUUAGUCUUUCGUGGGCUGUGUGUCCUUGGGUGAGUCACCUAACCUUUCUGGGUCUUGGUUGCUUCAUCUGUAAAGGAGAGAGCUGGAUUCAGUUAUCUCCAAGGCUCUUUCCAGCUGGACUCCCUCGGGAUUCAAGGAUCCUGUGUUUGCACUCUCUCCUCUGUUCUCAAACUGUUUGUUCAGCUCUCUUUUAUUAGGGGUUCUAGGCCUAUUAAAACAGAAAAAAAAAUUAACUAGCCUUGGGACGUGAAGAGUAAAUAUGAGUGCAAAUGGAUUAUUUUAUUCUACAUAACAAAUUACAAGGGGCACAGGUA